This 208-nucleotide ribosomal RNA is filed under the name uncultured bacterium. RNAcentral's name for it is "partial 16S ribosomal RNA". It matches the Rfam family "Bacterial small subunit ribosomal RNA", at positions 524 to 730 of the family's 1533-position model. The record is from RNAcentral.
UACGUAGGGUGCAAGCGUUGUCCGGAAUUAUUGGGCGUAAAGAGCUCGUAGGCGGUCUGUCGCGUCUGCUGUGAAAACUCAGGGCUUAACCCUGAGCUUGCAGUGGGUACGGGCAGACUAGAGUGCGGUAGGGGAGACUGGAAUUCCUGGUGUAGCGGUGAAAUGCGCAGACUAUCAGGAGGAACACCGGUGGCGAAGGCGGGUCUCU